This 1366-nucleotide ribosomal RNA is filed under the name uncultured bacterium. Its description in RNAcentral is "16S ribosomal RNA". It matches the Rfam family "Bacterial small subunit ribosomal RNA", at positions 32 to 1381 of the family's 1533-position model. The record is from RNAcentral.
AACGCUGGCGGCGUGCCUAAUACAUGCAAGUAGAACGCUGAAGAGAGGAGCUUGCUCUUCUUGGAUGAGUUUGCGAACGGGUGAGUAACGCGUAGGUAACCUGCCUUGUAGCGGGGGAUAACUAUUGGAAACGAUAGCUAAUACCGCAUAACAAUGGAUGACACAUGUCAUUUAUUUGAAAGGGGCAAUUGCUCCACUACAAGAUGGACCUGCGUUGUAUUAGCUAGUAGGUGAGGUAACGGCUCACCUAGGCGACGAUACAUAGCCGACCUGAGAGGGUGAUCGGCCACACUGGGACUGAGACACGGCCCAGACUCCUACGGGAGGCAGCAGUAGGGAAUCUUCGGCAAUGGGGGCAACCCUGACCGAGCAACGCCGCGUGAGUGAAGAAGGUUUUCGGAUCGUAAAGCUCUGUUGUAAGUCAAGAACGAGUGUGAGAGUGGAAAGUUCACACUGUGACGGUAGCUUACCAGAAAGGGACGGCUAACUACGUGCCAGCAGCCGCGGUAAUACGUAGGUCCCGAGCGUUGUCCGGAUUUAUUGGGCGUAAAGCGAGCGCAGGCGGUUUGAUAAGUCUGAAGUUAAAGGCUGUGGCUCAACCAUAGUUCGCUUUGGAAACUGUCAAACUUGAGUGCAGAAGGGGAGAGUGGAAUUCCAUGUGUAGCGGUGAAAUGCGUAGAUAUAUGGAGGAACACCGGUGGCGAAAGCGGCUCUCUGGUCUGUAACUGACGCUGAGGCUCGAAAGCGUGGGGAGCGAACAGGAUUAGAUACCCUGGUAGUCCACGCCGUAAACGAUGAGUGCUAGGUGUUGGAUCCUUUCCGGGAUUCAGUGCCGCAGCUAACGCAUUAAGCACUCCGCCUGGGGAGUACGACCGCAAGGUUGAAACUCAAAGGAAUUGACGGGGGCCCGCACAAGCGGUGGAGCAUGUGGUUUAAUUCGAAGCAACGCGAAGAACCUUACCAGGUCUUGACAUCCCGAUGCUAUUUCUAGAGAUAGAAAGUUACUUCGGUACAUCGGUGACAGGUGGUGCAUGGUUGUCGUCAGCUCGUGUCGUGAGAUGUUGGGUUAAGUCCCGCAACGAGCGCAACCCCUAUUGUUAGUUGCCAUCAUUCAGUUGGGCACUCUAGCGAGACUGCCGGUAAUAAACCGGAGGAAGGUGGGGAUGACGUCAAAUCAUCAUGCCCCUUAUGACCUGGGCUACACACGUGCUACAAUGGUUGGUACAACGAGUUGCGAGUCGGUGACGGCAAGCUAAUCUCUUAAAGCCAAUCUCAGUUCGGAUUGUAGGCUGCAACUCGCCUACAUGAAGUCGGAAUCGCUAGUAAUCGCGGAUCAGCACGCCGCGGUGAAUACGUUCCCGGGCCU